This 497-nucleotide ribosomal RNA is filed under the name uncultured bacterium. RNAcentral's name for it is "partial 16S ribosomal RNA". It matches the Rfam family "Bacterial small subunit ribosomal RNA", at positions 28 to 507 of the family's 1533-position model. The record is from RNAcentral.
GAUGAACGCUGGCGGCGUGCCUAAUACAUGCAAGUCGAGCGAACAGACGAGGAGCUUGCUCCUCUGACGUUAGCGGCGGACGGGUGAGUAACACGUGGAUAACCUACCUAUAAGACUGGGAUAACUUCGGGAAACCGGAGCUAAUACCGGAUAAUAUAUUGAACCGCAUGGUUCAAUAGUGAAAGACGGUUUUGCUGUCACUUAUAGAUGGAUCCGCGCCGCAUUAGCUAGUUGGUAAGGUAACGGCUUACCAAGGCAACGAUGCGUAGCCGACCUGAGAGGGUGAUCGGCCACACUGGAACUGAGACACGGACCAGACUCCUACGGGAGGCAGCAGUAGGGAAUCUUACGCAAUGGGCGAAAGCCUGACGGAGCAACGCCGCGUGAGUGAUGAAGGUCUUCGGAUCGUAAAACUCUGUUAUUAGGGAAGAACAAAUGUGUAAGUAAAUAUGCACGUCUUGACGGUACCUAAUCAGAAAGCCACGGCUAACUACGUG